UAAUUGAAUGCUAAAAGAAUGGAAAUUUAAAAAAAAACUUUUUUAAAAAUAAAAAUUGAAUUUUUUUUAAUUUGUGCAAAAACAAUUAUUAUUAUUAAAGACAAGAAGACCCUAAGAAUUUAUGAUUUUGCAAUUAGAAUUUUUUUCAAAAAAUCUUGAUUGGGGCGAUCAAAAAAUAUUAAUAACUUUUUAAAUUUAAAUUGAUCUAUUAUUAAUAAACUAAUGAAUUAAAUACUCUAGGGAUAACAGCGUAAUAAUUUUUGAUAGAUCUUAUUGACAAAAUAGUUUGCGACCUCGAUGUUGGAUUAGGAUCCUUUUUUAAUGAAGAAGUUAAAAAAAGAAGUUUGUUCAACUUUUAAAUUCCUACUUGAUC
Molecule: ribosomal RNA, 373 nt
Filed under: Hyalomma scupense
Lineage: Eukaryota; Metazoa; Arthropoda; Arachnida; Ixodida; Ixodidae
Description: partial large subunit ribosomal RNA
Rfam family: Archaeal large subunit ribosomal RNA (bases 242-373)
Source: RNAcentral